UACGUAGGAGGCGAGCGUUGUCCGGAAUUACUGGGUGUAAAGCGCGCGUAGGUGGGAGGCCAAGUCUGUGGCGAAAGCGCCCGGCCCAACUGGGCAUGGUCCAUGGAAACUGGUCACCUGGAGGACGGUAGAGGCGAGUGGAAUUCCCGGUGUAGUGGUGAAAUGCGUAGAGAUCGGAAGGAACACCAGUGGCGAAGGCGGCUCGCUGGGCCGGUCCUGACACUGAGGCGCGAAGGCGUGGGGAGCGAACGGG
This 253-nucleotide ribosomal RNA is filed under the name uncultured bacterium. Its description in RNAcentral is "partial 16S ribosomal RNA". It matches the Rfam family "Bacterial small subunit ribosomal RNA", at positions 524 to 776 of the family's 1533-position model. The record is from RNAcentral.